Molecule: non-coding RNA, 145 nt
Organism: Colletotrichum somersetense
Lineage: Eukaryota; Fungi; Ascomycota; Sordariomycetes; Glomerellales; Glomerellaceae
Source: the annotation of a GenBank genome assembly
GGUUGUGUAGUGUAGUGGUUAUCACUGUAAGUUCUCGGAGAAGCAACUCUGGCAUUCAUCACGUACUGACUCCCAUCGAGCCGGAUUUUGAUCGCUAGCCAUCAAAUGUCUUCCGGCAACCCCGGUUCGAGCCCGGGCACGACCU